UGAAAUCACCAAUAGGACUCCACUUGAGGUAAAGCUUAAAUUUUUUUCCGUUUUCUUUAAUACGCCUGUAUAUAUAUGUCACCGGUGCUUCGAAAUAUUAAUUCUUUUUGCAAGCUUUAAGUCGAUAUACUUGUUAUUUAGCUCUGCAAUCGGAAAAUCAUUAUGUCGAAUUAUAAUUUUGUCUACUACUAGGUUAUCUUGUUGCAUUUUCACUGGAUUUUGAAAAUAUACUGCUUGAUUUCGUCGGCAUUAUGAACAAUAUACUGGAAAUCUUGACCUUGACAGAAUUGAGAUGCAUAUCAUCCUUAUAUGGUAGAGAUUUUACUUCACUUUUGUGUGGUUCAUAUGGAGCAGACUCGGAAGGUGUUCUAUCAAAUGUUUGAUUAAUCUUUUCUUUUCUAAGAUGAAUUCGGUUAGCCCAAAUUCAUUACCGUUCUUGAAUUUGAAAUCGGUUGUGGAAUGAAUUCAGUUGUGACCAAUUCAAAAUUGAAAACGGUUUAGAUUUCUAUAAGUCGAAUAACCGAAUUCAUUGCACCGAAUUACCGAUUUUGCACCGAAUGCACACCCCUAGUGGCGAAUGUCAACUAAGCCCUUGAGUUUUGAUUGCUUUGGCAAAUAGUGCUCUACUAUUCAUGGGCAUUUUCGUUUGUCCAAGUGUUAAAUGUCCACUAAGCCCUUUAGGGAUAAAAGAAGGCCAGAAUAGUUCCUAACUGUUGGGGGGUACUAUUGUAAUUUCGAAUCAUAUCUCCCCCUUAGUUGCAUUUGUUAGGGUAAUAAAGAUUUUUCUAGCAACAUUCUGCCGUUGGAUCGUGUCUUAAUCUAAGAUUGAUGCCUGAGAACUGUUGGAUCAUUCCUAAUGAUGAUUAAAGAAUUGAUUGUUUUCCUUACCUGGAGAGUUUGCACGAACUGAUGAUUGUUAUCUUCCUUCUCCCGUCUCUUCUCUUUUUGGGGUAAGUCUCCCCUCUCUUCUCUAUCUGGCUUCUCUGUUUCUUAUUUCCUUUCUCUUCCCUUUUUAUGCCUGACAAUCACCACAAUUUCUUUCUUAUUUUCACUGUAGAUUUUUUCCUUUUAUCAGGUAUUUAUACUUGCAGACAUGAAACCCACAAAUUUUUCCAUAGAUUAAGUGUACACUUUUACCCUAAAAUCCGGAUUUUUUGCUCAAAAAAUGGUCCCUUGUCUGAUUCACUAAGCCCGUACGAACCCUUAUUUCUCAACCUUUAGAUCUUUGUCAACAAUUUCUGACUCUAAAUUUUACUCUCUCGGCUUCGAUUUGAUGGCUGCUUAGUAAGAGGGAAGUAGAAUUAGUAUUAAAAACCGGAGGAAUAGAAAAGGGCGCUUGAGGUUAGAGGCUUUAUAGGAUAUACAUCUUAUUUCAUUUUGUGACGCCCCCGCUUCUCCCAAGGGCGAACCCUAGGGUAUCGGCGGGACGCCUGCCUAGCUCGCGCCAGGAUUCAAAAUUUCAAAACAAUAAAACUAGAUAAAUCCACAAGCGUAGUAUUCACAAUAUAUCUAACGCCAAAAAGUUCUAUUUACAUCUUCAAAAGUAUCGAGUCAAACUACUCUAAUACAUUAUAAUAACAACCAGCAGAAGAUGGACCCUAAGGUGGGUCCUUAUACAAAUUACCAAAACAAAAAGGAUCAUCUUAACUGUCCAACUAAUACAAACUAAACCUAACUAUACUAGCAACAGUGUCCCAAAGUUCCCCGCGUCGUCCCCUGCUAAAGAAAACAAAGGAAACGGGGUAAGUUAGAAGCUUAGUAAGUAAACAGGGGUAAAAGCGUAAAUUUCACAUUUAAAUAAACAACUAUUGCACAAAAUGUCAAGUCAAGUACAAAAGUAACAAUACAAAGGAAGGAUACAGGUUGGCUCCAAAACCAAGUCAUUUGCCAUACGUGAUCUCCUGUCGACACUUCGUCGACCAUAAAUAAAGUCCGUAGAACUCCACUUGUACACCCACCGAACAUCUUAUUACCCUCACUGGCCAGUCACCUCACAAACUUGCCCGGGCGAACGAAAUCACAAACUUGAGCUUGAGUCACAAGCUCGGGUCACAAACUUGGUUCACAACUGGAACCUACGAACUUGGUGACCUCAGACUAGGUUGGACUGGCUCCGACCAAGCCCCGGCCGACUCGAAUAGUCCAUCCAAGUCUUGAGAUCGGGCCCACAAUUUCAACAUAUUUCACGAACUCAUGAAAGUCACCUCGAGCUCCAAGCUCAAGGGGUUCAAACCCAAAAUAAUUCAUAUAUACACAUCUCAUGGAGAAACAUAGGUACAAACUAGGGUUUAGGUCGAGUGUGAUAAAGUACACCCUCGCCUAAGUCCCCCUUUUCACAUCAAAACAUAUAAGCAGUUUGUACACAUAAACGGCCUGAAUACUUAUUCAAAAUACAAAAGUAGUACAAGAGCAAAAGCACUUCGCGCGUGUUCGCUAGUAGUGGGCCCCACCGACUCCGCCUAACUCAUCACUGUCUGAAAUAGAAGAUUGUAUCACAUAUUAUUACAAACGGCCACUAACAUGCCCAAAACAAGUAAAACGGCAAAAUCGACACAUGCAAGUGCAAAAACGGUAAAAUGGGUGCACGCGCACGCGCGGAACGGCAAACGGAAAUGGCCAAAUCUGUCAUCUCCAACCGUUUUGAUCAAACGUUAGGCUAGGAAUGUCGGAUCAAGGUGAGCGAGACACCGUUUCGAAGCUAUGAGGAAGGGAUACAAUUCUCCUGAAGACACCUUAAUCUAGAUCUGAAUGGAAGCAGGUCGAAAUUAUGGAAAACAGUACCAGAAAUUUACGUCUUAGGGUGACGAACAGGGUUUGUUUGCUGGGCCAUAACUCACAGGUAACAAAUCCAAAUCAAGAAAUUCCAAAGGCGUUGGAAAGCUAGUACAUAAGGCUAUAACUUUUAUGUUUAGACCAGAAGCUGAAUCGAUACAGAGCAUGGAGGAAAAUGGGUCCAAACAUUCCUGUCAGAACUGUCCAAAUUCGAAGGUAGUUCUGACAACGGAUCUUGUUUUGGUCAUAACCGGAGCUAUGGGACUCGGAUUUGGAUGAAUUUUAUACCUUUUCGAAGCUAACAGAAAGGGAUACAAUUUUGAAGAAGGACACUCAGUCCAGUUUGUAGUGAAACUAGGUCAAAAUGUCAAUGUACCAAACCAGAACCGUAAAAACAGGUUAACAAACCGCAUUCUGGUUAACAAACCGUAAUUCAGGCUACCUAAGUCCAAAUCAAGUGAUUCCAAAGCCAUCCGAAAGCUAAGACACCAGGAUAAAUUUCUUAAGAAGACAUCAACAACCAAAUCAUAAGUAUUCCCAACCAAAUUAACCAAUUACAGAAGCAAUUAUCAAGUUCGGAUAGAAACAGGGCAGCAGGGUAUUUCGGUCUUUUCACCAGCUACGUUGCUCCGAUUGAGCUGAAAUUUUGCCGGCAUCUCUAAAAUAUUAUUCCAUACAACUUUUAUGUUUUAACCCAACGCUAAUUCGGCCUCUAACUAUGAUAAAUAGUGCCGGGCAGAAAGGGGGUAAUUGAAACCCUAAUUCCAAAAUUUUCCGUUCAAUGCGGAAAUUUUCCGCAAAUAGCCGCUAUCUUAACACUAAGGCUUCAUUCUAAACCAUUUCCAACUAUCAUACAUGGUCACAUAAUAUUAAUCAUAUGAAAACAGAAAAAUCCCACAUAAAUAGAAAAAUUCACUAAUCUUAACUAAAAUCAAGAAAUAAUCCACCAAAUCACACUUAUAACCACCAUAAGUCCUUAAUUAAACAUCAUUAGAUAGAAGAGAGGGGUUCCAUAGUCACUCACCUUAGUAACCAAAGAAAGAGGCCACUUAGCACCUUAAGCUUCCAAAUAACUUCACCAAUCACCCAAAUACCCCUAAACUAAUAGGUUUUAUGGAGUAAUUUGAAGAUUAACCGGUUGAAAUGAAAGAUUGAGCAAGAUUGAAGGUAAGAAAAUUGAGUAGUUUUUCUUCUUUUUUUCUUGAGCAAGGGCCGGCCAAGAAGCUUGAAAAAUAAGGGUGAAUUUUGGUCAAUAUUUUGAUUUAAAUGGUAAAAGGAUGAAUAGUAGUCAUAACUCAAGACUUAUUCUCCAAGUGACACUUGUCACUUCAUUAAAUGCAUAUCUAUCCCAUUGUCUCUCUCACACCAACUCACUUAAUAUCCUCUAGUUAUCUCUUAGCACCUGCUAAAAUAAACCCAGUAUCCAUUACUUAACCUAACUGGCCGAAUUUUAUCGAACUUUCCGCACUAGUGGGUCCCACAUCUGAUAUAUGUUCUUAAUUUCUCAAAAACUAACUGAUACUAGAAAAAUCAUCUAAAAAUUAUAUUUACUCAAUAAAAUUAUCUGAAAAAUUUUCUAAUAAAGAAAAUGUCGAAAAGGCGGGUGAUCAGUAAAAUAAACCAUAGAAAUUUAGAAUUUUUUUCGGGUUCUCGCACUCAUUCUUUCGGGGCGUCACACAUUUUCUCAUAGGUGAAAAGAAAAAUAGAGAGGUUUCUUGCCUUUUGGUGUAUUCCUCUAUGGUAAAGAAAAAUUUAAAACUUGUUUGCUUUUUUCCCUCUUCGCAUAGCAAACACACGAAUGCUACACAAUUAGUGUUUUUUUUUUUUUGGUAUUUUCAGCUUUGUUUGGAAAGUGGAAAAUCCUUGCAAGGGGUUUGGUGCCUUUUGUUCCCUUGCAUCUUGGUAAAUACAUUUCUUGCCAUUCUUUUUCUCUUUAUUUUUUUUCACCACGGACAUAUAUACUGAUCAGUAAUAUUUUUUUUUUGUAAUUUUCAGCUUUGGUCCGAAAAUAGAAAAGGUUUUACAGUAAAAUUUCUGUUCAUUCCAGGUUAGUUUACCUCUGAUUUGUAUCAUUAAUUUGCUGAAAUUUUUGUUAAUAUUAUAUGGGCUGAUAUUUUAAAUAUUUUAAUAUUAGUGUUAUGUGCCUAUAUGUUUGGCUAUUUACUCUUAUGAUAAGUUUUUGUGUGACGCCUCGAAAAAAAAGAGUUUGAGAACCCGGAAAUUUUCUAAUUUUCUAGGGUUUAUUUUUUUUUUAACGCCCGCCUUUUCUACAUUUUUUUGACUAGAAAAAUUUCCCAGAUAAAGUUUAUGAGCAAAAAUAGUUUUAAAAUGAUUUUUCUAGUAUCGGUUUGUUUUUGAGAAAUUAAAAGCGUAUUUUGGACGUGGGACCCGCUAGUGCGGUAAAUGCAUUAUAUUUUUGACAACUUGUAGGAAUUUUGUAUUAAGUGAUAUUAUUUUACAAGGUGCUAAGAGAUAAUUAGAGGUUACUUAGAUGGUUUAAUCUUGGAGAGAUAAAAGGAUAAGAUUAAAAUCCUAGAGGACCAUUUGUCACCUAACUAUUGGACCUUGACUUUGACUUGGACUUGUCUUAACCUUUACUAAACCAAAUUUUGACCCAAUUUCUUCCAUUUUUAUUGUCUUGGUCGAAAUUUUUGGUGAGGAAAGAACAAGAGAGAGUUUCUUCAACUUCAACUUCAAUUCUUGCUCAAAUCUUGAGUUCCAACCGAUUAAAUUGCAAAUUACUCUAUAAAACUUGCUAGCUAAGGAAGAUUGAAGCUCUUGGUGGAGUUAUUUGGAAGGUUAAAGUGCCUAGUUGUUCUCUCUCUUCUAUUGUUAAGGUGAGUGGUGAUUGAGUUUCCUCCUACACUUAAUGAAGCUUAAGUUAUGCCUAGUGGGAGCUAAAGUGCUGAAAUUUGUGGUUUAUUUCUUGGUUUGAGAUGAAUUGGUGAAGUUUUUGAUUUAUUGAUGAUUUUUCUGGUUUAAUUUGAUCAUGAUGUUGUGGCUGUCCAUGAUGGUUGGAAAUGAUGUUUAAUAACUCUAGUAGGUGUAAAUGAUUGGUAAUUGCAACCAAUUUUGGGUUUGGAAGGAAUUUGAGAAAGUAAGGGUUUUAUAUCUCCAAUUCUGUCUGGUUUUGUAUCUCAUGGUUAGAGACUGAAUUGGCCUUGGCUUAAAACAUGAAAGUUGUAGGUAUUGAUGUUUUAAAGGUGUCUGUAAAAUUUCAGGUCAAUUGGAGUAGUGUGGAGGGAGAAAAGUCAGAAAUACUGAGACUGGUCUGGGAAGGGGUGCUGCGAACAGGGUUGCCUUUUCACUCAAUUUGACCGUGACCUUUCACUCUGAUUCUCACCGAAUUAGAUUUUGGUCAAAACAUGAAAGUUGUAGACAAGGCUAUAAAAUAGUUGCCUGUAAAUUUUCAGCUUGAUCCGAACACUGUAGCAUGUGAAAUGACCGAAAUACCCUUGACUGUUUUUGAAACCUGUUUCGUGCCCAGAUUUUUGUUUUCGUGUAGUCUUCCAUUUUCGAUCAUGAAAAUGCACGAUUUGGCCUUUGAGGUCUUCUGAUGAAAUGUAGCUUGAUGUAUUAGCUACCAUAUGCCUUUGGAAUUUCUGGAUUUGGACUUGUAGAGCCUGAGUUAUGAUGUUUCCGCUAGAAUACGUUUUGGUGAAUCUGUUUUACGUUUUCGAUAGAGUAUCUUGCAUUUUUGACCUGUUUGCACUCAAAACUGGGUUGAGUGACCUUCUGUAAUAUUGUAGCCCUGUCUUUUAGCUUCGAAACGGUGUAUCUUACACCCCCAUCCGAUAAUCGUAGUGCCAAUGGUGCCAAAACCGCUAAUGACAUCAAAUCUGUUUUGGGUUUUAGGGCUUGGAUUCCGACAAGAUAAUGGUAUAUGACGGAUGGGUUCUGAGCCGUGGAGGUGAGUGACCCUAAAGUGUUUCCAAAGUUACUUAUGAACCGUUUAUUGUACUAUUUACUUGAUUGCAUAUCAUGAGUGCUUGCAUGUGGCCCAUGACAUGUUUUGGCUUAAAUGAGUACUUGGAAUUCGUGUGCUGAACACCAACGUCUCCACCUCUGUGUACUGUUCAUUUGGAGCAAAUGGCUCCCCCUCUGACUAUUUACUGUUAAAUGUUUGUUUGGAGCGUUGGGUGUUUAAGUACAACGAUUUCACUGGCUCACGAGAGCAAUAAAUGUACAUUUGAUCUUAGAAUCAUGACAUCACUUAAAUGAACGACUGUGAAACUGAUUUGCUUACCGAUUUUAUUGGUUACUCGGUGAGCUUUUAGCUCACCCCCAAAAUGUUUUAUUCCCCUCCACAGGGCUCGAGAUGAAGGAAGUGCUUGUAGCACGUAUUCAUGUGACCGGAUGGAUUAUCUCACGUAUGGUUUGAGUUUUGGAUUUCUUCUUGUGUAUAUAGUUGGCGUGGUGGUUGUAGUUAUCAGUUUUU
Molecule: long non-coding RNA, 7210 nt
Filed under: Coffea arabica (coffee)
Lineage: Eukaryota; Viridiplantae; Streptophyta; Magnoliopsida; Gentianales; Rubiaceae
Description: long non-coding RNA (CARA_LNC002897)
Source: RNAcentral